UGCUUUCAACAUGGACAUGUGGGCGACUUCGGCCAAUGAAUUGGGUGUUGCAGGCCAUUGCAAUGCUACUGAGGCCAAACGGCUCGCUGAUCCUCGUUCAAAGCAUUUCAAGUUACACAAGCCCGGCUAGUGACACGUUAUGCUAAGAACCUGGUGUUGCGGGCCGAGGCAAGCUGACGAGCGACUUGUGGAUCCUUGUCUGAAGUGCGAUUGGUUGCCCAAGCCCGGCUAGCGACCAGACGUCAGUAGGAUACGGUGAUGCAGGUGUGCUUCGAGGCAUGUYGGAUUCAAUAAUUU
Molecule: unclassified non-coding RNA, 297 nt
Filed under: Volutaria saharae
Lineage: Eukaryota; Viridiplantae; Streptophyta; Magnoliopsida; Asterales; Asteraceae
Description: partial external transcribed spacer
Source: RNAcentral